Molecule: ribosomal RNA, 261 nt
Filed under: uncultured archaeon
Lineage: Archaea
Description: partial 16S ribosomal RNA
Rfam family: Archaeal small subunit ribosomal RNA
Source: RNAcentral
AGGGUGUAAACGCUGCAGACUUAGUGUUGGGAACCCUUCGGGGUGCUCAGUGCCGGAGAGAAGUUGUUAAGUCUGCUACUUGGGGAGUACGUCCGCAAGGAUGAAAUUUAAAGGAAUUGGCGGGGGAGGCACCGCAACGGGAGGAGCGUGCGGUUUAAUCGGACUCAACGCCGGGAAUCUCACCGGAUAAGACAGCUGAAUGAUAGUCGGGAUGAAGACCCUGCAUGACCAGCUGAGAGGAGGUGCAUGGCGUAGUCGUGU